This is a non-coding RNA of Vicia faba (fava bean), 291 nucleotides long. The record is from the annotation of a GenBank genome assembly. Lineage: Eukaryota; Viridiplantae; Streptophyta; Magnoliopsida; Fabales; Fabaceae.
AUGCUUUUAACUAUUCUAAACAUCACUGAUUCGGCAAUAGUAGUGUGCGGAUGCUCGUCAGCGAAUUCACGAGUUAUGGUUCAUGAAUUGGCAUUGAAUUGUUACCACAAUUACAGCUUCGUAACUAUGUACGCCAGAUUGUAUCUUGUGCUGGAUUUUGUGAAUGGGGGCCAUCUUUUCUUUCAGCUUUAUCACCAAGGCCAGCUUUAUCACCCAUGGGGGCCAUUUUUGUGCAGGAAAAUGUUAAAUCAUAACUCUACAAUCUCACCAAGUGGCGCAAGGAUAAGGUGA